This 258-nucleotide ribosomal RNA is filed under the name uncultured bacterium. RNAcentral describes it as "partial 16S ribosomal RNA". It matches the Rfam family "Bacterial small subunit ribosomal RNA", at positions 524 to 776 of the family's 1533-position model. The record is from RNAcentral.
UACGAGGGGGGCGAGCAUUAUCCGGAAUUACUGGGCGUAAAGCGUCUGUAGACUGCAUUCUGAAUAUGCUUUUGGUAAAAUCUAAAGGCUUAACCUUUAAUCUGCCUUAAGAACAGGUUUGCUAGAGUAUAAUUGUAGAUCGUAGAAUUCUAUGUGAAGGGGUGGAAUCCAAAAAUAUAUGGAGGAAUGCCAAAAGCGAAAAGCAACGAUCUAAAUUAUUACUGACGUUGAGAGACGAAAGCGUAGGUAGCCAACAGG